Molecule: ribosomal RNA, 253 nt
Filed under: uncultured bacterium
Lineage: Bacteria
Description: partial 16S ribosomal RNA
Rfam family: Bacterial small subunit ribosomal RNA
Source: RNAcentral
UACAGAGGGUGCGAGCGUUGUCCGGAAUCACUGGGCGUAAAGGGCGCGUAGGUGGUUGGGGAAGCGUGUGGUGAAAGCCCGGGGCUCAACCCCGGGUCGGCCAUGCGAACUGCCCGACUGGAGCACGGUAGAGGCCAAUGGAAUUCCGGGUGUAGCGGUGGAAUGCGUAGAGAUCCGGAAGAACACCGGUGGCGAAGGCGGUUGGCUGGGCCGUGGCUGACACUGAGGCGCGACAGCGUGGGGAGCAAACGGG